Molecule: ribosomal RNA, 468 nt
Filed under: uncultured bacterium
Lineage: Bacteria
Description: partial 16S ribosomal RNA
Rfam family: Bacterial small subunit ribosomal RNA
Source: RNAcentral
GACGAACGCUGGCGGCGUGCUUAACACAUGCAAGUCGAACGGAAAGGCCCUGCUUUUGUGGGUUUCUCGAGUGCCGAACGGGGGAGUGACACGUGAGUAACCUGCCCUUGUCUUUGGGAUAACAUCAGGAAACUGGGGCUAAUACCGGAUAGGAGCUCCUGCUGCGUGGUGGGGGUUGGAAAGUUUCGGCGGUUGGGGCUGGACUCGCGGGUUAUCAGCUUGUUGGUGGGGUAGUGGCUGUCCAAGGCUUUGACGGGUAGCCGGCCUGAGAGGGGAAACGGGGACAUGGGGCCUGCGGGACGCACCAGAAUGCAACGGGAGGCAGCGGGGGGAAACAUUACGCAGUAGGCGCGAGCGUGUGACAGCAGCGCUCCGUUCGGGAAGACGGCUUUUGGGGUGAAAACCGCUUUCGACUGAGACGAAGCGUGAGUGACGGUAAUGGGUAAAGAAGCACCGGCUAACUACGUG